This 169-nucleotide ribosomal RNA is filed under the name uncultured bacterium. RNAcentral describes it as "partial 16S ribosomal RNA". It matches the Rfam family "Bacterial small subunit ribosomal RNA", at positions 338 to 524 of the family's 1533-position model. The record is from RNAcentral.
CCUACGGGAGGCAGCAGUGGGGAAUCUUAGACAAUGGGGGCAACCCUGAUCUAGCCAUGCCGCGUGAGUGAAGAAGGCCCUAGGGUCGUAAAGCUCUUUCGCCUGUGAAGAUAAUGACGGUAGCAGGUAAAGAAACCCCGGCUAACUCCGUGCCAGCAGCCGCGGUAAU